AGCUUUGCGCAGUGGCAGUAUCAUAGCCAAUGAGGUUUAUCCGAGGUGCGAUUAUUGCUAAUUGAAAACUUAAUUGU
RNAcentral lists this small nuclear RNA (77 nucleotides) under Ictidomys tridecemlineatus (thirteen-lined ground squirrel). RNAcentral describes it as "Spermophilus tridecemlineatus (thirteen-lined ground squirrel) U4 spliceosomal RNA". It matches the Rfam family "U4 spliceosomal RNA", at positions 1 to 77 of the family's 138-position model. Rfam says of the family: U4 small nuclear RNA (U4 snRNA) is a component of the major U2-dependent spliceosome. Lineage: Eukaryota; Metazoa; Chordata; Mammalia; Rodentia; Sciuridae. The record is from Rfam by way of RNAcentral.